Non-coding RNA from Armillaria nabsnona, 94 nucleotides. The record is from the annotation of a GenBank genome assembly. NCBI's taxonomy places the organism in Eukaryota, Fungi, Basidiomycota, Agaricomycetes, Agaricales, Physalacriaceae.
GCCUCCUUGGCUCAGUUGGUUAGAGCGCCAGUCUCAUAAUAUCAAGCUAUGAUCUCAGUUUGAGGUCAUGGUUUUCGGAAUUACUGAGCAGGAA